UGAAAAAUGAAGGCACAGAACAGGUGUCACU
Molecule: non-coding RNA, 31 nt
Filed under: Mus musculus (house mouse)
Lineage: Eukaryota; Metazoa; Chordata; Mammalia; Rodentia; Muridae
Source: RNAcentral